AACGGGUGAGUAAUACAUAGGUAACCUGCCCCUGUGCGGGGGAUAACAGGAGGAAACUCCUGCUAAUACCGCAUAGCCAUGAGCACCGCAUGGAGCUCAUGCCAAAUAUCCUUCAGGGGAUAGCGCAGGGAUGGACCUAUGGCGCAUUAGCUAGUUGGCGGGGCAACGGCCCACCAAGGCAACGAUGCGUAGCCGGCCUGAGAGGGCGGACGGCCACAUUGGGACUGAGACACGGCCCAGACUCCUACGGGAGGCAGCAGUAGGGAAUUUUCGGCAAUGGGGGAAACCCUGACCGAGCAACGCCGCGUGAGCGAAGAAGGCCUUCGGGUCGUAAAGCUCUGUUGUAAAGGAAGAACGUCGCAUGCAGGAAAUGGUGUGCGAGUGACGGUACUUUACCAGAAAGCCACGGCUAACUACGUGCCAGCAGCCGCGGUAAUACGUAGGUGGCGAGCGUUAUCCGGAAUCAUUGGGCGUAAAGAGGGAGCGGGCGGCCGCAAGGGUCUGUGGUGAAAGACCGAAGCUAAACUUCGGUAAGCCAUGGAAACCGGGCGGCUAGAGUGCGGAAGAGGAUCGUGGAAUUCCAUGUGUAGCGGUGAAAUGCGUAGAUAUAUGGAGGAACACCAGUGGCGAAGGCGACG
This 638-nucleotide ribosomal RNA is filed under the name uncultured bacterium. Its description in RNAcentral is "bacterial SSU rRNA". It matches the Rfam family "Bacterial small subunit ribosomal RNA", at positions 101 to 726 of the family's 1533-position model. The record is from RNAcentral.